UACGUAGGGGGCGAGCGUUGUCCGGAAUCAUUGGGCGUAAGGCGCGUGUAGGCGGCUUGGUAAGUCUGGUGUGAAACCUUGGGUCUCAACCCCAAGCGUGCACUGGAUACUGCCUCGCUUGAGUCCGGGAGGGGAGAGCGGAAUUCCUAGUGUAGCGGUGAAAUGCGCAGAUAUUAGGAAGAACACCGGUGGCGAAGGCGGCUCUCUGGAACGGUACUGACGCUGAGGCACGAAAGCGUGGGGAGCAAACAGG
RNAcentral lists this unclassified non-coding RNA (253 nucleotides) under uncultured Gaiellales bacterium. RNAcentral's name for it is "contains 16S-23S intergenic spacer region". It matches the Rfam family "Bacterial small subunit ribosomal RNA", at positions 524 to 776 of the family's 1533-position model. The record is from RNAcentral. Lineage: Bacteria; Bacillati; Actinomycetota; Thermoleophilia; Gaiellales.